AAAAGGAGGAAGAGGAGGAGGAAGAAGAGGAGGAGCCGAGGAGGAGGAAGACCAAAGCCAAGACCAAGGGCUGUGUGUGUGCAUCAUGGCGAGCCGGGUGUCCUGUGGCCUCGAGUUCCCCAUCGUGCAUGAGCUGAGCCACGCCCUUCAGGAGGCUUCAAAGUCGGGGUAUGACUUCAUCUCGGUGCCCCUCGCCCACCCUCGCUUCGGGCGGGAGCAUGUGGAAGGCAAGGCCAAGGAGAGGCCGGGAGCCUUCACACGGUCUGACCUCCUCCUCAGCAGCUCAGAAUGGAACAGUUUGAUAGUUGGAAGGUUAACCAUGUCAUCUAUCCUGAACCUGGAGUCACCCGUCAACAGCCUCCGCAACAACAGCGAGGAAACCCUAAACCAGGAGCUGACCUUUGCCGCUCACCUGGGUUUGCCGGCCAUCACCUUCUCCCUCACGUCAGACCGGUGCACCAACGUGGCCAGGAUGCUUCACAACAAGGUGGUCCAGGGCGUCUGUUACCAGGUGUGGGUGCGGGUGCCCAUGCAGGCGCCGGAGGAGGUUGCCUCCCAGUACCGCUCAGACAGGAAGCAGAGUGAGGACGGCUUUGAGACCGACACGUGGACCUGGUGGAACAAGUUCCACAGUGUAGCCAAUAUUCAGAAGAAGAUUAGCUUGACAUUGGAAGUUUCUGCAGAUCUUCCCGACCAGUCCGUCAUCGACAGGUGGCUGGGUGAGCCGGUGAGGAGUGCUGUGCUGCCCACCUCCAUCUGGCUCAGCAACAAGAAGGGCUUCCCAGUGCUGUCCCGGGGACACCAACAGCUCGUCAAGUCCCUGGUGAAGCUGCACACACAGUUCAUCAUCACAGGCCCACUCAGACACCAACACUACAAGUUUUACCAGCAGUACCUUGAAUACAUUACAAGGACACAGGCUGAAGCCGACCCACUGACGGACUUUGCCCGAGGCUACGAGGACUACCUGCAGUGCCCCCUGCAGCCCCUGAUGGACAAUUUGGAGUCUCAGACCUAUGAAGUGUUUGAGAAAGAUCCCGUCAAGUACAGAGAGUAUGAGCGGGCAAUGUACUUAGCAAUCUGUGACAGGAUCCCCGAGGAGGAGAAAGAUACCAAAGAACUAGUGCUGAUGGUGGUGGGUGCCGGGCGGGGGCCCCUGGUGCGGCGGGCGCUGGCGGCAGCCAAGGCAGCCAAGCGGGUGAUCAAGGUGUAUGCCGUGGAGAAGAAUCCCAACGCUGUGGUGACGCUGCAGGCCCAGCAGGACGAGGACUGGGGAGAACAGGUGACGGUGGUGUCGUGUGACAUGCGGGAGUGGCAAGCCCCGGAGAAGGCCGAUAUUCUGGUGUCUGAGUUGCUGGGCUCCUUUGGUGACAAUGAACUCUCUCCAGAGUGUCUGGACGGUGCUCAAAAGUUCCUCAAAGACGACGGCAUCAGCAUCCCGAGCAGCUACACCUCCUACCUCAGUCCCCUGCAGUCCCCGAAGCUCUACAAUGAAAUACGGAAUUGCCGGGAGAAAGACAAGCACUUCCUGGCACACUUUGAGACUCCGUAUGUGGUCUACCUGCACAACAAGAAGGAGCUGGCCCCCUCACAGCCCCUCUUCACCUUCAGCCAUCCAAACACAGCCAAGGUGAUCGACAACACCCGGUACAAGUCUCUUCAGUUCCAAAUAACCGAAGACAACGUUGUCCAUGGCUUUGGGGGCUACUUUGAGGCCUUCCUGUACAAGGACAUCAUGUUGAGCAUCAAGCCGGAGACACAUUCCCAGGGCAUGUUCUCCUGGUUCCCCAUCCUCUUCCCUCUCAGGGAACCUGUGGCGGUGCGUGCAGGGGACAUCAUGGAGGUGCACUUCUGGCGGUGCACCAACAGGAAGAAUGUUUGGUACGAGUGGUGCGUCACCUCGCCGCAGAUUAUUUCUGUCCACAACCCAAAUGGCCGAGCCUACACCAUCGGGCUAUAACGACGCCUGCCCAUAGGUGGCCUUUCCUUUUCUGCACCUAAUAUUUCAGUUUUGUCCUGCAGGAAUUGGUGCAGUUUAAAAGACAAUACUCAGUGCAUGUUGUAAAGAUAUGCAGAUGACGCAUGAAAUUGGAAAGUUGUCAUUCCAUGGCGAUGGUUGUUUGUGAAUAAAAAACAACCUACCAUCGUCUCCUAACUAUAAUUUUUCUUGUUAUUUUUUAAAAGGGGAUUGUCUAAAUUCUGUUGCUCCGUGAAGGUCCGCUGCAUUAGUGUCCUGUGGUGUGAUGAGGCAGCCCAGCACAGCAGUGUACUCAGUCAGCCCAGACGGAGCUUUCCUGUCUCCUGUAGUAUUGCCUUUGUUACUACUUUUUCUAAGACCAGACGCUUCAGUUUGGUCUUCUGAAAGUUGUGCAUUUAUUUAGUUUAUGCUUUCGUUGAUAUCAUUCACUUCCUGCCCGGUGCUUUGUCAUUUUGUCCUCUAAAAGUAUCCAGAACAGAGAGGUGGCAGUUAUUUGGAUGUUCUGUAAUUCUCACUUCCAGCAAUCCCUUCCUUGUAAGUGGAUCUGUAGAUGCUGGACCUUCUUUUUGUUGUGCAGCGAGGUGGUGCCAUAUUAACAAUCCUUUCAGUAUAGUAUUUCAUUUAGAAAAAAAGUUCCCCUCAUCUUUUCUCAAUCCCUUAUGGUGUUUACAAUUUGUAGAUCUGUUUUGCCUCCUCAUUUCUGCUGAGGAAAGCUUUAAUAAUCUUCAUUACCAGAUAAACAAAAUGCAGUGAUAUCACCAAGCAUCACAGAACAUGCUUAAAAUAGGUUGCCAGAAAACUUAGCAGCUGAAUUCCACAAGCAUAUGGAGGUCAGGACAGCACACCUUUAUUGUGUUGCUAGGAUUUUUUUUCUCUUUUCUUUCUUUCAAAAUGCUGUUGUCAGUUGGUAGUCUUCUUCAUGGAAAAAAUCCACCCAACAGCCAUACAUAGCUGAUGGGAAGACUUGCAUCACUGAAAAAUUUACCAGUGAGAGAAAUUGUAAAGGCAGAGAGAGUGAAGAUGUGCCGGGUGGAGAGCAACAAGACUUCAUGACAUUUCCCUCGGACAUUCUAGAGUUGAAGUAAACCCCUUUACCCUUUCAAGGUACCCUGAAGCACAUCUUGACUUUACCGUGUUCCAGUGACUCUCAGAAGUAAUGUCCACCCCACGGCAACAGCUGCCCAGCGCUCACCCGCACACUGUUCCUUAGGCUGUGUUGUAAGGUCCCUUGGUGUAUUUUUGCCCAUUUUUGCCCAUAUGGGAAGAGGAUGCAAUUAAUGCACUUUUCAUCAGCUUGUUGUGAAUGAUUGAUGAUUUCAUGUUGCAGCUGGUCAUUUCAUGCUGUUACAAUAAGAGGUUAGAGGUAAAGGAAUUAAUAUACUUGCCUCAGAGUGAGCAUUGAUUUUGAUGUACUUACUGAGAUGAUCUUAAGAGUGUUUUGUACAUGAUGUCUGAGGGAAGCUGCUCAUAUGUGCCAAGACAGUGAUGCACCAUGCAGCCUUGCAGGCCAUUCUGCUGCUGCUGCUGCUGCUGCUGCCAUUCCUGAGACUUUGCCAGCUGUUGAAGGAUGUCAUACUUUACCUUACAUGAGUGCCAGUCAAAUGACGUUGACAAUCGUGGAGUGCCACCUCAGCCAGCAUCAUAAGAUCAGUAUUAAACCCUUAACUCCAGAUCUCUCAGACACUUGAAUUUCUGUCUUCUUGCUGUUGAAUUGUGUCACUGAACUAAAUAAUGAUGCUCUUGGAGGUCCAGGGUAGUCUGGGUGUCAAGAGUCAGCAUUUCUGGCAGCUGAGACAAUUGAAUGUGACAUGUAUAAACGAUGUAUAAACAGCAACUCACCUUCAAGUUAAGGUAUUGAAAAGUGCUCAGUACACCAUCCUUGCACUCUAGGCCAGUAGAUCUUAAUCUUUUCAAAGUGACUUGCCCCUUUCAAAGCUUGUUGUAAGCCUUGAUAUCCAACACUAGGAAGCUAGAAGUGACACCUGAUGCUGCUAGCACACAAUGUUACCUGACAAUAGUAUCUUGCUUGUUCCACUGACUUACUCAUCUUCAGUAAGAUCUAAACAUUGCAGUAGGCAACUUGUGGAAACUUUUUAUGUGGACCUAAAACCAUCCCUGGACCAAUAGUUAGAAACUGGUCCCAGCUGUCAAGGGUAGCUACAUUUUUCUGUAGAGAGAAUGACAUUUUGUUAUUUAUGAAGAUCAACCAGCCACGGGCGCAGGACGGAGAUAGACAGCCCAGCCUAACCAAAUGUUUUGCUCUGAUAUUUUUAGUCAGUUACCAAGGUCACUCUUUUCUGAGAUUACUGACACCAUGCAUUGAUUUAUGGAUCCAUGUGUAGUGCGGCAACGGCCUGAUGAACGAGCCUCCCAUAACCCACUUAGCCAGGGGGGUACCUCUUUGGCCGACUCGGUAAGGAGUGGCUCUCCCGUCACGCUGGUCGCGGGUUCAAUCCCAGGCAGCCGGCGAAUACCAUGAUCUUGAUUAAUUUCUCGUGUUAUUUUGAUACACGCAGAGGCCGUGUUGAGAAAUAGGAAGGAUUUAGAAAAGAAGCUCGUCGGGGCAUUACACAUGUUUUCCUACAGUUUUUUUUAUUUCCUCAAACAUUAUGUGGGUUGCCGAGUCAAUACAACAUGCAUUCAUAAUAGUCUCGGUGGCAUGACCCUGACACUUAUUUUCACUGAUAAUCAGAAAAGAGGAAAAAAGCGAUUUCACCCAAUAAUGUAACCCUUCAAUUUAAAGGAUGUUAUUCAUUUCCUGUGCUAAUAUGAAGCCAAUUAUGUCAUCAUCCUCUGCCUUGCUUCCUUUACCAGAUCAAGCAAUCAAAGGCCUUACUCAAAAACAUUACUAACGACCUUUGCUUCUCUCCAUUGCAUUAUGAGAAGCUUCUUUCCUCCCGAUGUACAAAAGUAUAUUUUAAGUCAAUAAAGAGUAAUGUUAAA
Eriocheir sinensis (Chinese mitten crab) is the source of this 4921-nucleotide RNA transcript. It is a transcript of the gene named protein arginine N-methyltransferase 5-like, with no coding region annotated. The record is from RefSeq and is a predicted model, not a curated record. Lineage: Eukaryota; Metazoa; Arthropoda; Malacostraca; Decapoda; Varunidae. The transcript has 13 exons.